GGUUUGAGUGCAGAGCUGAGUGUGCUGCUGAGAUACACUGGUUUUGCUGGUUUCCUGCUUCUGUCUGCUCUUGCUGUACGUCUGAAAAUGGAAUUCCUGUCUCUUUCAGCCUGCUGAAUACAGAGCCAAUUACAAAAGGCUGGUGGGUGACUUGAGCCACUAGAGCAGGGUGGAAGUCUGCGAAGGUGUUUUGUACCCAGCAAGAUCUGCAGCAGAGCUGAGGGAGGGAAGCCCUUCACCUGAGCCCUAUCCCUGCUAUCGAGGCACAUCUUGACUCAGCUCCACAAGGCUCUGAAAUAGUCCAAAACAGGAGGACGGGCAUUCAGUCAAAGCAAGGAUUGCAGGAAAUGUCAGAUGUGUGAGCUGUUACCUCGUAGGGCUGAAACCCUUGGAAGGUCCUUGGCUGGAGAAAGGGAGUAGCUAUUGGAAGGUGACAUGGAUGCCUUCUUGGAGUUGCUCCCAAGUGGCCUUUAUCUGGGACAGAAAGAGGAAUAAUAACUGCAAGCAAAGAUACCACCCAAUUGGAUGGCCCUGUUGUGUGACAGCAACCUAUCGCUGAUUGAAGCAGGUGUGGAGGUUUUGGAGCCUGCAGAUGUGCAUCUUGCUGACUGCAGCUCACAGAAGGGGUAUGAAGUUCUGGGAACCCCAUCCUCAUGAUGCAAGCCAAGCUCUGUUGCUCAGAAGAGACACAGGUGCUGCAUCAAACUGACACAGCCCUGAUUGGACAGCCAUUUCCAGAUUAGCAAGAUGUGAUAUGAAGAUACCAGUGACACGGAGAAGUUGUGCUGUUGGCAGAGUGAGGUGGCAGGAGGAGAACCAUGGGCUAGGACAGGGAAUGGGCUUGGAGCACUCAGCCCUGCAUCUACUAUGUCUGCCCACACUUUCAGCUGCAGCACCCUGCCUGUCCCAGGUAUCACCAGAGCCCAUCAUGCUGUUAUGUGAUGAGUAUGUCUGGCUGGAGGAAAUGGAAUUCCUUGGGAAUGCUACUGAAAGCUUCCAUCAAGCACUGACGUUGCUAUCAGCUGAACUUGGGUAGGAUCAUGAACAUCAUGUGGAAGUGAAUUUUCCCAGCAUCCUAACCAGGGUCUGAGUUAAUCUGUCCGUGCUCCUCUCCAACAGCAAGAACACUUAGACAGUCAGUCCACUGCCAAGGGAGAUCUGGGGAUCACUGUCGUCAGCUUCGAU
Non-coding RNA from Coturnix japonica (Japanese quail), 1185 nucleotides. The record is from RefSeq and is a predicted model, not a curated record. NCBI's taxonomy places the organism in Eukaryota, Metazoa, Chordata, Aves, Galliformes, Phasianidae.